Molecule: non-coding RNA, 66 nt
Organism: Trichonephila clavata
Lineage: Eukaryota; Metazoa; Arthropoda; Arachnida; Araneae; Nephilidae
Source: the annotation of a GenBank genome assembly
GUGCCUGUAGCGUAAUGGCUAGCGCGUUGAACUUGUAAUCCAAAGGUUCGAAUCUCACCUGGGAUG